GGACUACUCGGGUUUCUAAUCCCGAUCGAUACCCAUGCCUUCGUACCUCAGCGUCAGUCUUCUAUAGUAAUAUGCCUUCGCCGCUACGCAUCCUAUCGAGUAUUUUAGUAUUGUUACACUCCUCUCGUUAUGAUUAUUACUCCAUUAUGACUCUAGUAUAAAAAUAUCAGAUCCACUCCUAGGUGAAAGUUAAAGAUUAUUUACACAGCCUACGUACCCUUUAGACCCAUUAAUGACGAAUAACGCUCGCCUCACACGUAUUACCGCGGCUGCUGGCAC
This 279-nucleotide ribosomal RNA is filed under the name uncultured bacterium. Its description in RNAcentral is "partial 16S ribosomal RNA". The record is from RNAcentral.